Molecule: ribosomal RNA, 254 nt
Filed under: uncultured bacterium
Lineage: Bacteria
Description: partial 16S ribosomal RNA
Rfam family: Bacterial small subunit ribosomal RNA
Source: RNAcentral
GACGAACCGUGCGAACGUUAUUCGGAAUCACUGGCUUAAAGCGCGUGUAGGCGGGUGGGGACGUCGGCCGCUGAAAUCCCCCGGCUCAACCGGGGAAGGGGCGCCGAAACGGCCCGCCUGGAGGGACGUAGGGGGGGGCUGGAACUUCCGGUGGAGCGGUGAAAUGCGUUGAGAUCGGAAGGAACGCCCGUGGCGAAAGCGAGCCCCUGGACGUCUACUGACGCUGAGACGCGAAAGCCAGGGGAGCGAACGGG